UGAGUACUGAUUAACACAGAGGCACAGAAACAGGAUGCAAAUUUCGGUAGUCCAAAUCUCAUGAUUACGAUCACACUUGCCAAAGCGAAUAUCCCACUAAGACCUAAAAUCUAUUUUUACCGAACAGCUCACAGAGGUCCCAGUAGCUUAUUUGUUGGGAGUAUGUAAGAAUAUAAGAAUUUUUCAUUUCAUAUUUAAGUAGAAUACUCCCAGGUUUAAAAUAUCUUUAUGUCGCGAAGUACACGCCGGCGGCUCUGCUUCAUGACGCACGCAACCCAACCACCUGGCCACCGCCAUCCUGUUGCAUCAAUGCUGUAGUAGUGGACGAUGGCAUAAUCAUCAUAAAUGGGCAGCGAGCAACGGUCAGCGUUGACAAUGGACCCCUAAGGACGACAAGAGAGGCCCACCUCAUCACGU
This 417-nucleotide long non-coding RNA is filed under the name Drosophila guanche. The record is from RNAcentral. Lineage: Eukaryota; Metazoa; Arthropoda; Insecta; Diptera; Drosophilidae.